Molecule: small RNA, 29 nt
Filed under: Bombyx mori (domestic silkworm)
Lineage: Eukaryota; Metazoa; Arthropoda; Insecta; Lepidoptera; Bombycidae
Description: ovarian small RNA-37599
Source: RNAcentral
UUGAAAGUGUCUGCCGUACAGGUAUGGUC